This 461-nucleotide unclassified non-coding RNA is filed under the name uncultured bacterium. RNAcentral's name for it is "partial contains 16S ribosomal RNA, 16S-23S ribosomal RNA intergenic spacer, and 23S ribosomal RNA". The stretch from base 331 to 461 matches the Rfam family "Bacterial large subunit ribosomal RNA", at positions 1 to 131 of the family's 2925-position model. The record is from RNAcentral.
UGCGGCUGGAUCCCCUCCUUUCUGGAGAUCUCGAGUAAGCGACGGCUUGCCGUCUGCGGAAAGAGCUCCGGUGUCGCCCGCACUCGUCCACGAUCCGUCGUUCCAUUAUUUCAUUGCUGAUGCGGUGAGCAGUCAGCAGUGAGUGGUGAGCAGGUACUGCUUACUACUUACUGCUCACUGCUGACUCGUGACGCUCUUUGACAAUCGUAGGUCCGGAUGGGGCGAACGCUUUCUUCGGAAUGCCGUUCGCAAAUAAAUGUUGAGGAAUCAACACCGUAGAAGUUUGUAGUGACGGCCUUCGCAGGCCGUCAUAUCAGCGUAAUAGAUCGAGAUCAAACGCAAUAAGGCGCACGGUGGAUGCCUUGGCAUCGAGAGGCGAUGAAGGACGUGAUAAGCUGCGAUAAGCCUGGGGGAGCUGCACAUAAGCUGUGAUCUCGGGAUGUCCGAAUGGGGAAACCCGG